RNAcentral lists this ribosomal RNA (253 nucleotides) under uncultured bacterium. RNAcentral describes it as "partial 16S ribosomal RNA". It matches the Rfam family "Bacterial small subunit ribosomal RNA", at positions 524 to 776 of the family's 1533-position model. The record is from RNAcentral.
UACGUAGGGUGCAAGCGUUGUCCGGAAUUAUUGGGCGUAAAGAGCUCGUAGGCGGUUUGUUGCGUCGGCUGUGAAAUCCCGAGGCUCAACCUCGGGUCUGCAGUCGAUACGAGCAAACUAGAGUGUUGCAGGGGAGACUGGAAUUCCCAGUGUAGCGGUGAAAUGCGUAGAUAUUGGGAGGAACACCGGUGGCGAAGGCGGCCCCCUGGACCGGUACUGACGCUGAUGCGCGAAAGCGUGGGUAGCAAACGGG